CCCUUAGAUGUUCUGGGCCGCACGCGCGCUACGCUGAUGCAUUCAACGAGUUUUUCCUUGGCCGAGAGGCCUGGGCAAUCUUUUAAACGUGCAUCGUGAUAGGGAUAGAUUAUUGCAAUUAUUAAUCUUGAACGAGGAAUUCCUAGUAAACGCAGAUCAUCAAUCUGCAUUGAUUACGUCCCUGCCCUUUGUACACACCGCCCGUCGCACCUACCGAUUGAAUGGUCCGGUGAAGCCUCGGGAUUGUGGCGAGUUCCCUUUAUUGGGAGUUUGUCGCGAGAACUUGUCUAAACCUUAUCAUUUAGAGGAAGGUGAAGUCGUAACA
This 325-nucleotide ribosomal RNA is filed under the name uncultured eukaryote. RNAcentral describes it as "partial 18S ribosomal RNA". It matches the Rfam family "Eukaryotic small subunit ribosomal RNA", at positions 1470 to 1796 of the family's 1831-position model. The record is from RNAcentral.